Molecule: ribosomal RNA, 201 nt
Filed under: uncultured bacterium
Lineage: Bacteria
Description: partial 16S ribosomal RNA
Rfam family: Bacterial small subunit ribosomal RNA
Source: RNAcentral
GACGAACCUGCGAACGUUAUUCGGAAUCACUGGCUUAAAGCGCGUAUAGGCGGGAGGGCACGUCCGUCGCUGAAAUCCCCGGCUCAACCGGGGACGGGCGCGGAUACGACCUUCCUUGAGGGCGUAGGGGGACCUGGAACUUCCGGUGGAGCGGUGAAAUGCGUUGAGAUCGGAAGGAACGCCCGUGGCGAAAGCGAGGUC